AUGGCUUCUUUGAGGAUGGCCGUGCUGCUGUUCUUGGUUUGCACUCUCGGUGUCGCUAGGAAGAUGGAAGCGGCAAGGAUGAUGCAGAGAGGUGAGGUUGUGGUGGGUAAUGGAGGAGACGGUGGCCGCAAUGCGCUGCAGCACGGGUUCGUCGACGGCCACCGGCCAAGGCCUGUUGCGUCGUUGACGAUGGGGGACGACGUCGUCGAGGCGCCGUCGAGCCAGGCAGCUGGUGGAGACGGCGCGAAGAGGGAGGUGCCAGGUGGGCCUGACCCGAUACACCACCAUGGCAGCAUCCCGCCAAAUUCGGUCGCUCCAUAG
This 321-nucleotide ribosomal RNA is filed under the name Triticum aestivum (bread wheat). RNAcentral's name for it is "partial small subunit ribosomal RNA". The record is from RNAcentral. Lineage: Eukaryota; Viridiplantae; Streptophyta; Magnoliopsida; Poales; Poaceae.